This 211-nucleotide ribosomal RNA is filed under the name uncultured bacterium. RNAcentral describes it as "partial 16S ribosomal RNA". It matches the Rfam family "Bacterial small subunit ribosomal RNA", at positions 1290 to 1500 of the family's 1533-position model. The record is from RNAcentral.
AGUUCGGAUUGUAGUCUGNAACCCGACUACAUGAAGCUGGAAUCGCUAGUAAUCGCAGGUCAGCAUACUGCGGUGAAUACGUUCCCGGGUCUUGUACACACCGCCCGUCACACCAUGGGAGCCGGAAAUGCCCGAAGCCAGUGACCCAACCUUAGGGAGGGAGCUGUCGAAGGUGGAGCCGGUAACUGGGGUGAAGUCGUAACAAGGUAAC